GUUUGGAGGCAGGGAUGUUGGAAUGAUGUCCCCCCAUAGAUGAGUAACUCUUGGCAUCUGACAGCUGAUGUGAGAGGAAGAGCCGGGUUUUCUUAAGAGAAUGACCACUGGAGGACACUCUCCUGCUAUGCCAUACAUUUGUGUCCAGAAGGCGACUUGAGGGGAAAGAAGAAACCAUGUAAUUCAAGCUCUUUGCACACAAAAAUGAAAAAAUUGGAUGAGUGGUAAAGGUACUUAUCCGGAGCUGAUGAUGAUAAUGUUAGCACGCACUGACUUCACAAAGAAAACAGCACCUCAUCUUCUCUGGGUUACCUGACU
Peromyscus maniculatus bairdii (prairie deer mouse) is the source of this 318-nucleotide non-coding RNA. NCBI's taxonomy places the organism in Eukaryota, Metazoa, Chordata, Mammalia, Rodentia, Cricetidae. The record is from RefSeq and is a predicted model, not a curated record.